AGUAUUGGGGAGGAGAUCGAAUGGUGGCGCUGGCUAGCGGCCGCCGUCGCAACUAUUUUGCGGGAAUAACAAUUCCGCCGCUAGUAUUCGUUCAGCCAUGGAGGACGAAGACUUGAGGCUCGUGAAAGGUAUGUGGAAUAGUUAUCUGCUCGAAAAGCAUCUGCAGGGGGGGUAGCAUUAGUCCCUGCUUGUCUCGCUUUGCUUUAAAUGUCGCCGCUAUCUCGUUCGAAGCAAAAACCAACCCACGUCUAGCCGCUAGCGAUUGGCCGCGUCGCUCCGGCUGCGCGUGCCAGGUCGUGCGUGAUUGACGCGGUGUGGCGAUGUUUGUGCGCUUCCUAGGUUGGAGAAACCGUACUCGCGGAACUCGCGCAUUGCUUUUCAGUGUCCUUGUCACUUGCAACAACAAUCAGCCAUAUCGGCGAGAGCAAGAGAUGCCUCGUUGAAGGCGAAGACGUAUCGAAGUCCGAUCAUGUGAUAGAGUGCAGCGUCGCCCCGGAGCUGACGGCUGACAGCGUCCGCAUCGUCGGAUACGUCCUCCAGUCCUGCGCUCUGCACAGCGAUCCGCAUACAGUGCAUCUCACUCUGAACAAAGGGGAGAUUGUCUCUCUGUGCUGCACGUGCCCUGCAGGGCAAGAAUGCACGUUUCCACUGCGUUUUUUUUUAACGAGAGGGGUUAGGCGAUAAACCACGUUUUAUUAGACGACAUCAGUUCCUUCAUCGUUCUCUUAAUCUGCAAGGUAGUUUUGUUAUGAAAUGUUGCACUGCCUAGGCAUUCCGUAGUUAAGAACUGAUUUAAGUGAGGAAAUCUACGAGGUGUUGUAGAAGUGGUGUAGAAUGCAAGAGAUAUAACAGAUGUGUGUUUGUGCUGCCCCCAGAAAGUCAAGCGAAUGCAAGCACUGCACUGCUGUCCUGCUGAAAACCAACAGGAUGCAAGAGCUUCCAGUUGUCAAGCACAGACUUGCCGCAGGCUUGGGGCCAGCAUGCGAAGGAUGUCGUCAAGACCAAGUAUGCAGUGAGGUCUCUCAUGGAGAUCCCCUUCUGCCCAAAGUUCAAGCGACCUGCCUUGCCAGCCGUCGAGCGUUGUGUCGUGGACAGACUUAUGGAAGGCCUUCCGCACAUCUGUCCUGUCGCUAUUCACAAAAGGAAGAGAACACGAAAAGAGACAGGUGGAGCCAGCACUUCAGCAGCUGUGCCUCGACCCUGAAGCCUGCUUGAAGCGCUUCAGGACCUGCCUGAGGAGGAGACCGAAAACCUGCUGGAGCAACUCAAGCGCAUAAUGACACGAGAGGCUAUUGCGGAAGUUGAGCGCAUGACAAGGGCACAGGCCUCAUCAUCUGAUUGGAUGCUGUACAGGAGGGGAGAGGCUCGCCCCUCCCCCCCCGGACGCCGCUGAUGCGGUACCAUGGUGCUAGGCCCCCAUGGCCGAUAUUCACCAAGCUUCUCCAGACGCCUAACACUUAUUUUUUCACCUGGCUCUCGAGUAAGGGGCUCUUUAUUUUAAUAAAGAUUUGUCCUCCUGCCCAAGUGUGAAUCUUUCUGCUUGACCAACACUGCUUUUUCAUCAAGUUCCGCCAAAAUGUUAUGACCCUAAAGGUGAAAACGGCAGAACACGCACAAAAUGAAUACAACAGCAUAGGUGGCAACUAUACCAAAGCAUAACUUCCAUAAAUGUUUCCAGCAAUGGAAG
Molecule: unclassified non-coding RNA, 1687 nt
Filed under: Ixodes scapularis (black-legged tick)
Lineage: Eukaryota; Metazoa; Arthropoda; Arachnida; Ixodida; Ixodidae
Description: uncharacterized LOC115325188, transcript variant X2
Source: RNAcentral